Ochotona princeps (American pika) is the source of this 106-nucleotide small nuclear RNA. NCBI's taxonomy places the organism in Eukaryota, Metazoa, Chordata, Mammalia, Lagomorpha, Ochotonidae. The record is from Ensembl.
GUGCUCGCUUUUGCAGCACAUACUAAAAUUGAAAUGAUACAGAGAAGAUUAGCAUGGCCCCUGCGCAAGGAUGACACGCAAAAAAGAAAAUCAAUAUUAUAUACUU